Molecule: long non-coding RNA, 2699 nt
Organism: Tetranychus urticae (two-spotted spider mite)
Lineage: Eukaryota; Metazoa; Arthropoda; Arachnida; Trombidiformes; Tetranychidae
Source: RefSeq, a predicted model, not a curated record
AACAAUGACAAACAUAUUUUACUGUCCAUUUCAAGUCUGGAAAAUGAAAUUUUAAUUGUGAAUAAUAUUUAAAUUAAUAAUCUUAUUUGAAUAAUUAGUACCAACUCGGAGGUUUCUUUCACUCAUAAUUCCACCCUCUCAUCAUCCCAAUUAUUAUCCAAUCAUCAUUCUCAUCAAUAUUCUGAUGUUGACCAUAAUUUUGUUGCCAUAUAAUGUUUCAUCUGAAAGGGAAGGGCGACAAAAUGACAGCCUUUUUUGUUCCUCAAAUCAUCAUUAUCAUCAUUUAACUUAAUUGUCGGAUUGAUUGCUGAGAAACAAAUGGUUAUUAUUAAAGAUCAGAUAGUUGAAGGUUCAACAUUUUUGGUCUAUUGAUUGGAAUCAGUAUUUUCAACUGGCUGAAGAGUCAAAGUUAAAGCAUUCAAGUUUAAUGAUGAAAAUGGACAGAAACCAAAAUAUUAGGUAAAAUGGCCUGUAAUUUAAAUUACAACCAACGAUAAUUUUGUUAAUGUUACCUAAAUGACAAAAAAGCAACCAAACCGAAAUUCCAAUUAGUCAAAUCAUCAUUUUAAAUCACCAUCUGGACAGUCACAAUUAUGAUAACGAUUAUUGAUAAUAUUCACCAAAUCUCAUCCUAUUGAAAGAUUUGUGAUCAAUUGUUGGCAAUGAAACAAAUUUACCAAAUUCUGGAAUUUAAUGAUGAUCAAUUGAGGUUGUAAUCAUCUUAUCCUUUCGUAUUGAUUGAAAUACACUAAGCAAUUUGACCGUCUAAAGAUACACAAGCUAAUUUGAUUUGUUCUUGAUUGAUUAAUGAACAUUAGAGAUUAACUCGUCAUCCAUCAAUUGAUUGAACCUGAUGAUAUUGAUUGAGCCAGAAAAUAAAGUUAACCACAAGUUAAAACAAGAGUUAAUUGUGAUUAACAGAAAGGUGUUGAUAAUAGGUUAAAUUGAAAAGUGAGAAGUCAAUUGAUUGCCGUAAGCAUAAACGUGACAAACCAAUUUGUAUUGAGCAUCAUUUUAAUAGCCAUCCAAAUUAAAAAUUAACCCAACGAAAACAGUUAAUUGUAACAAUCUAAAUAGAUUAGAUGGAGUAGGUUGAGACAAAUACAGAUAAACACAAUUAAGACGCCAGCCUUGAGGACAAUUUAAUUUGCCUGCAGCGUUUUACACACCACAUAAUCACCAUCUCAUUCAUGAGUCUUUAUUAUUUUUCAUCGUCUUGUUAUCAUCACCAGCAUCAUCCUUUUGAUCAUUCACCAGCAUCAGCACCAUCAUAAUAAGCAUUUUGAGCGUAAAUUUAAUGUAACCUUCCAGCUAUUUGACAGCAAUGACAAUCAAUAAUCAAUAAACAAGUCGUCAAAGUGUUUCAGCCUGUAUCGGGUUGAUGACAGAAUUGGUUUCCCAUCCAGACCGUCAAACAUAUCAUAAUUCAAUUCCAAUUGGAUUAGUGUUUACAUUUUCAAUUGCUAACAUGCAAUUUGGUGAUUGAAAACAAUCAAAAAUGUAUCAAGUCAAAUCAAUAAUAAAAACAUGUAAAGAUGUUAACACAUUUAUCUACCAUUGAGGCUGUAAUGGUCAUUUAGAAUAUCACUUUUUGCUGAUUAAAUGUUGCAAUUUAGCGCUCCAUUUAUUGUGUAAAUACAGAUGUAACAUGAAACUUAUACAUUAAUAAAUCAAAUAUUUUCAAAAUUGUAAAUUAAUUUGUCCAAAUUAAAUUAAAAAUGAAGUGUAAAAAAGCUAUUCACAUUUUUAGAUUCAUUGAAACAAAAAAAAACGCCAUUAUGUAGGCAUAGAAACAAAGGGAACGUUAACUUAUUACAACGGGUAGGUUGCUUUGUGAAUAUUUUGUUUGUGUUGAUUGUUAAUAUCAUUAUUAUUACCAUUACUAUUAUUGCUAUUAUUAUCAUUAUUUUACUGAUUGUUAAUGAUGAAAAUGAAGUCUGAUUGAUUCUUAAAGAUGCCAAUCAAGGAUGAAAACCAAUUGAUCGACAAGUUACAAAUGAUUGACCAAAGAUGAACCAGAAAAAAGGCAAAACAAGUCAUUGUUGAGUGGAAACAUGAAAAAUAAUGAUGAAAAUGAGAAGGAUAAAGAUGAAGACGAUGAAGGAAACAACAAAACAUUCAUUGAUUAUGGGUUGUCUAUCAAUGAUACCAUAAACACUGUUACCAGUAAAAGGUAUCAUCAUCCAGCAAGAAAAAAAACUAAUCAGUCUAAUUGUUUUUUUACUCGAAAGGAACCACAUUUUUGCCCAAAAUAACAAUGAUUAUCUUGUUCAUUAAUUGCUCCCUGUUAAUCAUCAUAAUCAUGGUAAUAAUGAUAAUCACAAUCAUUGGCUGGAAUCAUCAUCUAUCUUAACCAACAUCAAACAUUUCGCCCGUAAAGAAAAACCUCAUUUUGUUGUCAUUUUAUUUUCACUUUUCAACUUACAAGCAUUAAAUGUGAACAAUUAUCAAUCUACUUACGAUCACAACUAAAUUGGCAAUCAAAUUACAGACACAAUUAGAUGUUAUUAUCUGUAACUAAAAUUAAAAUCAUUUCAAACCAAUUUGCAGGAAAAACAAAUCAUAAUUUGUACAAUUUUUCACCGUACAAAACAGGAUUUAAUCAAAUACUUAAACUGUUUCAACCUAUUUGUUUCAGGAUAAUUUAAUAUAAUCACAUGAAGCUAUUUAUAAUCAUUAAAAGUUAAAUUUCUGUGUAA